AACGCACCUUGCGCUCCUUGGUAUUCCGAGGAGCAUGCCUGUUUGAGUGUCAUUAAAUUCUCAACCACACCAUUUGUUUUACAACUGGUUGUGGCUUGGAUGUUGGGGGUACUUUUUGCGGGCCUCUGUUUUGAGGUCAGCUCCCCUGAAAUGCAUUAGCGGAACCGUUUGCGGUCUGUCGCCGGUGUGAUAAUUAUCUGCGCCCAAGACAGUCUGCUCUCUUUGUGUUCAGCCUCCAAUCGUCCACUUGUGGACAAUUUCUGAAUAUUUGACCUCAAAUCAGGUAGGACUACCCGCUGAACUUAA
RNAcentral lists this unclassified non-coding RNA (306 nucleotides) under uncultured Lepiota. RNAcentral's name for it is "sequence contains ITS2". The stretch from base 1 to 52 matches the Rfam family "5.8S ribosomal RNA", at positions 103 to 154 of the family's 154-position model. Lineage: Eukaryota; Fungi; Basidiomycota; Agaricomycetes; Agaricales; Agaricaceae. The record is from RNAcentral.